RNAcentral lists this long non-coding RNA (1723 nucleotides) under Zalophus californianus (California sea lion). RNAcentral's name for it is "lncRNA (ENSZCAG00015013629.1)". Lineage: Eukaryota; Metazoa; Chordata; Mammalia; Carnivora; Otariidae. The record is from RNAcentral.
UAGUAAAAAUUUAUUGUGCACACACCAAAAAUAGUUUGCAAACCGGGAGCUCUGGAACCAGAGCACGGAAUGAGGCCCAGGGUAUAUCUUUAUAAAGCUACUUGUGCCGUGAGAAAGCAGUGACUGUUUAUUCUUCACGGAUUGGCUGCAAUGAGAUUUUUCAGUGGUCCCUUCAUAUCAUCCAUGGGAACCAGUUCAAGUUUUGCUUAUCAUUUCCAGAAGCUCAAACAAGAAAUGAUCUAGGUCAACUUAGCCUUGCAAAAUAAGCUAAAUUAUGCUUUGUUUGUAUGAUCAUACUGGUUACUCUGCUUAGAAUUUUCAAGGCUAGUCUCCGUUCGGUUUUGAUUUUAAUAGGCUCUAUCUCUCAAUAAAUGCGAGAGAGCCCACGAAAGCUCCCCAAUACGAAGCUGCGCUAUCUGGGCGGCACUAGGACCCCGGGGGCUCCAGGUUAGCUCUCCCAGCCGGCGGGUGGUGGCGCGGGUUUAAGGACCGGCAGGAGCUGGAAGCAAGGGAAGGGCGAGGCGAGUGAGCAGGGACACAAUGGACACUUUCUGCCCUCUGGAGGGAGCUAUCCAAAAGAAGAAACUGCACUUGGAAAUUGACCUAUGAGCAGCACAGAAGAUGAAGAAGAAGGAAAGGGGCCAUCAAGCAGAGAAAUGUGGAGAUCCUGGUGAUGCUGGCAAUGACCCUUCAGCAGGGAGAUGGCUGGACCUGCCAAGUGGAGCACCCCAGCCUGGAUGGUCCUGUCACUGUGGAGUGGAGUUCCUGAUCUGACCCAAAGACCUCCGUGUGCCCCGGAACAAGCAUUUUUCUAUCUUUCCUCAGUCCUAGAGGCUGGUUCUGGGACAGACUUCAGCCUCCCAAGAGGAUGUUACUACUAAGUACAUCUGCAGUGGCUGCCGUGAGGCAGACAGUGGGGAGAGAAUGAGGCAGAGCAGGAGACAAUGAGGCAGACAGUGGGGAGAGAAUGAGGCAGAGCAGGAGAGAAUGAGGCAGACAGUGGGGAGAGAAUGAGGCAGAGCAGGAGAGAAUGAGGCAGACAGUGGGGAGAGAAUGAGGCAGAGCAGAGCAGGAUUCAGAGGAGCUCUGAAUCCAGGACUUAUUUCCCUAUCUGGUGGAGGGAGAAGGGGUGGAGGUGAAACAGCUCAGCGGGGCUCAGCCAACCAGAAAAUGUCAGAAGGAGCAUCUUAGUGUCUGGGAAAGAGGCGAGAAACGACGCGGCUGAGAAAGUCCCAACCUAUGUGGGGUUCAGGGAUAAGAGGAAGAGAACAAAAAUGGAGACAUGAUAAUCACCUUCUUUUUAAUGGGAUUGAUUGGAAAUACGUCUUUGAAAUUGAUCCUGGAACAUUUUUUAUUUGUAGUAACUUUUGUGAAUGGAUAAUUUUCUUCAUAAUUUCAUGUUGAUUUUUUGUAUCAUAUAAGAAUUCCCUUGAUUGUUAUUAAGUAAUGUUAUAUUUUACCCUUUCAUUCCUUUGAUAAUUUUGGAGGAAUCUGAUAAUAUUUAAUCAAAAAUUUCCAGACAUAUAAUCAGAAUGCAAAAAAUAUUAACUAUUUCACUUCUAAUUAUUCUUUUUAUUUCUUCUUGCAGUUUUUAUCUUUUUAUACGAGAUUUCUCUAAUAUUUUACCACUUAGUGUAAAAUUAACUUUGCUUUAUAAAUUCUUUUUUUAUAUAUAAAUUUGAUGUCUUUUCAUAAAUUUGUGUAGAACUGUAGUAAAAGCCCC